This 70-nucleotide transfer RNA is filed under the name Halaelurus buergeri (blackspotted catshark). RNAcentral's name for it is "tRNA-Pro". It matches the Rfam family "tRNA". Rfam says of the family: Transfer RNA (tRNA) molecules are approximately 80 nucleotides in length. Their secondary structure includes four short double-helical elements and three loops (D, anti-codon, and T loops). Lineage: Eukaryota; Metazoa; Chordata; Chondrichthyes; Carcharhiniformes; Scyliorhinidae. The record is from RNAcentral.
CAGGGGGUAGUUUAAGGUAGAAUCUUGGCUUUGGGAGUCAAGGGUGGAAGUUUAAUUCUUUUCUCUCUGA